GGAAUCUUCGGCAAUGGGGGCAACCCUGACCGAGCAACGCCGCGUGAGUGAAGAAGGUUUUCGGAUCGUAAAGCUCUGUUGUAAGUCAAGAACGAGUGUGAGAGUGGAAAGUUCACACUGUGACGGUAGCUUACCAGAAAGGGACGGCUAACUACGUGCCAGCAGCCGCGGUAAUACGUAGGUCCCGAGCGUUGUCCGGAUUUAUUGGGCGUAAAGCGAGCGCAGGCGGUUUGAUAAGUCUGAAGUUAAAGGCUGUGGCUCAACCAUAGUUCGCUUUGGAAACUGUCAAACUUGAGUGCAGAAGGGGAGAGUGGAAUUCCAUGUGUAGCGGUGAAAUGCGUAGAUAUAUGGAGGAACACCGGUGGCGAAAGCGGCUCUCUGGUCUGUAACUGACGCUGAGGCUCGAAAGCGUGGGGAGCGAACAGGA
Molecule: unclassified non-coding RNA, 427 nt
Filed under: plant metagenome
Description: partial contains 5.8S ribosomal RNA, internal transcribed spacer 2, and large subunit ribosomal RNA
Rfam family: Bacterial small subunit ribosomal RNA
Source: RNAcentral